UGACCACACCCCUGGUCACUCGGCAGGCCGGACCACCUGAACAGCCACGUCCGGCAGGUGCACUCCACCGAGCGGCCCUUCAAGUGCCAGACGUGCGAGGCGGCGUUCGCCACGCUGUGACCGGCUGCGGGCGCACAGCGGUGCGGCACGAGGACAAGGUGCCGUGCCACGUCUGCGGGCAAGCUGCUGAGCGCCGCCUACGUGGGGCGACCACCUGCGGGUGCACGGCCCCGCCCCCCGCGGCCAGGGCGGGGCCACAGGUUCCGGCCCCGCCCCCAGCCCCGCCCCCGCCCCUCCCCCACCCCUGGACGGGGCCCCCGGGGGCAGCCAGGGCUGGUGAGGGGGGGAGGGGCUCCCCAAGCCACGCCCCCGCCCCGAGCCACGCCCCCUUUGUCCACCUUAAGCCCCGCCCACCCAAACCAGGGAAGGGGCGGGGCCAACCAAUAAAAAAUGGAGGUCGGAAAAGGCUCCGCCCAC
This is a long non-coding RNA of Passer domesticus (house sparrow), 477 nucleotides long. RefSeq lists it as uncharacterized. The record is from RefSeq and is a predicted model, not a curated record. The transcript has 3 exons. NCBI's taxonomy places the organism in Eukaryota, Metazoa, Chordata, Aves, Passeriformes, Passeridae.